AGUGAACGCUGGCGGUAGGCCUAACACAUGCAAGUCGAACGGCAGCACAGUAAGAGCUUGCUCUUACGGGUGGCGAGUGGCGGACGGGUGAGGAAUACAUCGGAAUCUACUUUUUCGUGGGGGAUAACGUAGGGAAACUUACGCUAAUACCGCAUACGACCUACGGGUGAAAGCAGGGGAUCUUCGGACCUUGCGCGAUUGAUUGAGCCGAUGUCGGAUUAGCUAGUUGGCGGGGUAAAGGCCCACCAAGGCGACGAUCCGUAGCUGGUCUGAGAGGAUGAUCAGCCACACUGGAACUGAGACACGGUCCAGACUCCUACGGGAGGCAGCAGUGGGGAAUAUUGGACAAUGGGCGCAAGCCGGAUCCAGCCAUACCGCGUGGGUGAAGAAGGCCUUCGGGUUGUAAAGCCCUUUUGUUGGGAAAGAAAAGCAGCAGGUUAAUACCCCGAUGUUCUGACGGUACCCAAAGAAUAAGCACCGGCUAACUUCGUG
This 492-nucleotide ribosomal RNA is filed under the name uncultured bacterium. RNAcentral describes it as "partial 16S ribosomal RNA". It matches the Rfam family "Bacterial small subunit ribosomal RNA", at positions 29 to 507 of the family's 1533-position model. The record is from RNAcentral.